UACGGAGGGUGCGAGCGGUAAUCGGAAUUACUGGGCGUAAAGCGCGCGUAGGCGGCCUUGUAAGUCGGAUGUGAAAGCCCCGGGCUCAACCUGGGAAUGGCGUUCGAUACUGCUUGGCUAGAGUAUGGAAGAGGGAAGCGGAAUUCCGGGUGUAGCGGUGAAAUGCGUAGAUAUCCGGAGGAACACCAGUGGCGAAGGCGGCUUCCUGGGCCAAUACUGACGCUGAGGCGCGAAAGCGUGGGGAGCAAACAGG
This 253-nucleotide ribosomal RNA is filed under the name uncultured bacterium. Its description in RNAcentral is "partial 16S ribosomal RNA". It matches the Rfam family "Bacterial small subunit ribosomal RNA", at positions 524 to 776 of the family's 1533-position model. The record is from RNAcentral.